UUUUUUUUUUUUUUUAAGGGCUGCCCCUGCCGCAUAUGGAGGUUCCCAGGCUAGGGGGUCAAAUCCGAGUUGUAGCCGACAGCCUACACCACGGCCACAGCCACACCAGAUCCGAGCCGCGUCUGUGACCUAUAUCACAGCUCACAGCAACGCCGGAUCCUUCACCCACUGAGUGAGGCCAGGGAUCGAACCUGCGCCCUCACGGUUCCCAGUCAGAUUCGUUUCCCCUGCACCAUGACGGGAACUCCCGGAGAGACUUUUAACAAGAAUUUUCAUUGAUGGGUAGUUGAUGUACUAUGUUGUGCUAAUUUGUGCUGGGCGGUGGUUCGGGUAUACAUAGAGAUACAUUCUGUUUCCUAUUCUGUUCUGUUAGGGUUUGUCACAGGUUGAAUAUAGAGAGCUCCCUGGGCUGGGCAGUGGGACCUUGUUGAACUUUUUUGUUGUUGUUGUUGUCGUUUUUUAAAGUUUCAUUGCGGUGGACUUCAUGUGCAGCGUUGGGAUCCUUUCUGCUGUGUAGCAAAGUGACUCAGGCAUCCGUGUCCACACAUCUGUUCUUGCUGAGAUUCUUUUCCCACAGAGAUGAUCACGGGGUAGUGGGUAGAGCUCCCUGUGCUGGACAGCAGGUCCCUGUUGGCCCGUCAUUCCAUAGACCUGAGGGUGCACGUGCCAACCCCGCACCCCCCCGUCCAUCCCUGCCCCCCACCUGUCCCCUUAGGUCACCGAAAGAUUGUUUUCAAAGUCUGUGAGUCUUUCUGUCCUGCCAAUAAGGUCAUUGCUGUCCUUUUUUCUAGAUUCCACGUGUAAGUGAUAUCAUGUGAUGUUUACCUUUCUCUUUCUGACUUACGUAGUGUGACAAUCUCUAGGUCCAUCCAUGCUGCUGCUGAUGGCAUGAUUUCGUUCUUUUUCAUGGCUGCGUCGUAUUCCGUUGUAUGUAUGUACCAUGCCUACACGUCCAUCAGCAGAGGACUGGAUAAAGAUGUGGCACAUACACUUUGUGGAAAAUGACUCAGCUGUAAAAAAGAAUGAUGGAAGGUAACAUAAGAAAGGGAAUGUGUGUGUGUGUGUUGUGUGUGUGUGUAUCUGACUGUUACUUUGCAAUGUAGCAGAAAUUAGCAUAUUGUAAAUCAACUCUAAUAAAAAUUUUUUUAAAAUAAAAUUCUUCUACCACCACCACCAACAAAGAAUGAAAUCAUGCCAUUUGCAGCAACAUGGAUAGACCUGGAAAUAAACUAUUUGUUUUUUUUAGAGCCACAUCUGCUCCUGGGAACUUCCAUAUGCUGCAGGUGCGGCUCUAAGAAAAAAAAUUAAUAAAAAAUAAGGGCGUGGCUUGAGCCCAGUGCCAGCUCAGCUUUUCUGUCUCCCUGGGGGGCACUUGUGGGAAAGCCACUGGCCUCCCUUCUUCCUCCUGAGUCAGAAUUUGUGUGCGGGCUCUUUAAAGCCACUGCCUCCGAGAAAGCAGUGAAAAAAAAAAACUCCACAAAAGGCAGAAUUUUUACAGUGAUGUCAUUUCAGUAGUGGGAAGGACCAGAGGUUAAUUUGGCCCUCGGAGACCUGAAUUUUGGCUCUUCUGGUCGACUGCACAUAUUUCUGUGGGGCUGGAAAAUCAUGACCCAGAUGCCCAAAGGCCGGAGACAGGGCACCGGCCUCGUUCCUGAGCCCUGUCAACCCCACCCCCGUCCCCGGAACACACGCUCACGGCCUGUCUUCUGGGACCUGUGCUCUUUCUCUCCCGACCCUAACGGGGUCGCCCUGUGACCCAUUAGGGGGAGCGAUGCGGCUUUCAGAAUAUCACCUGGGAAAGACUUGGGGCUGCAGCCGAGACCCCCUAAUUCUGACUUUGCAAACCUUUGCUGGGGUCCUGGUGAGAAGUCCGGCUGGUAUAUUUGGCAGGAAACAUCCAGAACUCACUGUCUGUCUUUCUGUCUGUCUCUCUUCCUUCCCUCCUUCCUUCUCUCUUUCUCUCUCCCUCCCCCACAGCCCUGGGUCCUGCUUAGCCAUUGAAACCCCCCGCAGUCCCCAGGGUGUCUGUCUGUCCCACAUUGAAUCCCAUUCUUCCCCCACGUGCACCUGGACUCGGGUUACUGACCUCAUGAGCCAGGCUGAGCUCAGAAGGAAGCUGUAGCUCUCUGUCCCUUGAUGUCUGAAUUUAAAGCUUGACACCCCCCCUUUGGAGGCUUUAUCUGCAUGUGUGCCCCGUACACCCUGGGGUCCUGCAGGCCAUGAGGGCAGGCAAGCGCUCUGCUCUCCAGCCCUGUCCCCCAGUCCCUGCGAAUCUGUACUCUGACCAAAGUCGCUCCAGCAUGUUUUAGUUUUGGUUUGGUUUGGGGGUGUUUUUCCCCCCCUUUUUUUUUUUUUACAACUGCUGGGUCCACAUUGCCCGGGCCGCUGCCUGCGGCGGGGACUGUUUGGCGACCUGUUCAGGGAUGCGGUUGCGUGGAUGUGCCUUCCUGACGGUGGUGGAAGGUCCUUGUCAGCGGUCGGCCGCGGGGGGCCUUGCCCAGGCCGCGGGAGCCUUGCCCAGGUCCCACUGCCCACUGGAGGGACGGAUGGACAGAUGGGCGCCGCCCUGGAUGCAGGGAGCAUCCUCUCGUCGGAGGGAGAGGAGAUGCUGCUGGGGUUCCGCACGCCUCCUCCCCCCGAGCACAGCUGGAGGUGUUGGGGCUCCAGACCUGAGUGUGGCCUGGGCGCGCUGGGGGGCCCUGGCGUGCUUAGCCCUCUCCCUGUGCCUCCGUCCCCCGCUUUCGUUUUGUGGCCUCGAUUCCCCUGUGACUCCUCCCUGGCAUUUUUCUCUUGGUUGUCAUGGAAAAGGGCCGCUUGUUCUGCACCCCUAAAAA
RNAcentral lists this long non-coding RNA (2834 nucleotides) under Sus scrofa (pig). RNAcentral describes it as "lncRNA (ENSSSCG00040030373.1)". Lineage: Eukaryota; Metazoa; Chordata; Mammalia; Artiodactyla; Suidae. The record is from RNAcentral.